This 431-nucleotide ribosomal RNA is filed under the name Pseudomonadota bacterium. RNAcentral's name for it is "Proteobacteria bacterium partial 16S ribosomal RNA". It matches the Rfam family "Bacterial small subunit ribosomal RNA", at positions 355 to 777 of the family's 1533-position model. Lineage: Bacteria; Pseudomonadati; Pseudomonadota. The record is from RNAcentral.
UGGGGAAUAUUGGACAAUGGGCGAAAGCCUGAUCCAGCCAUGCCGCGUGUGUGAAGAAGGCCUUAUGGUUGUAAAGCACUUUAAGCGAGGAGGAGGGUACUGGUAUUAAUACUACCAGGUACUGGACGUUACUCGCAGAAUAAGCACCGGCUAACUCUGUGCCAGCAGCCGCGGUAAUACAGAGGGUGCGAGCGUUAAUCGGAUUUACUGGGCGUAAAGCGUGCGUAGGCGGCUAAUUGAGUCGGAUGUGAAAUCCCCGAGCUUAACUUGGGAAUUGCAUUCGAUACUGGUUAGCUAGAGUGUGGGAGAGGAUGGUAGAAUUCCAGGUGUAGCGGUGAAAUGCGUAGAGAUCUGGAGGAAUACCGAUGGCGAAGGCAGCCAUCUGGCCUAACACUGACGCUGAGGGACGAAAGCAUGGGGAGCAAACAGGA